UUGCUUGAGAAUACGCGUAGCU
Molecule: microRNA, 22 nt
Filed under: Oryzias latipes (Japanese medaka)
Lineage: Eukaryota; Metazoa; Chordata; Actinopteri; Beloniformes; Adrianichthyidae
Description: ola-miR-137
Gene: ola-miR-137
Source: miRBase by way of RNAcentral